UGUCUCUCUCUCUCUCUCUCCCAUUUCACGACAACUCCUCUCUCCCUUUUCUCCCAUUUCUCUCUUCGGUUUUUGGCACUCACUUUCUCGAUUUCAAGUUCUCAUCGGCAUGGUUAUGUACUUCGACAUCUCCAUUUAUCCAUCUUCAUUCGUCUUUUUCCACACUUAUAAACCUAACCCUCACUAUAGUUGGAUUCAGAUUUCACUCUCUCCUUGACAUAAUUUCAUAAUAACAAUUAAAGCUUCACAUACUUCUUCAUAUCAGUUGAAGCAGGAUGUAUUUAUUUGUCCUUUUGCAAUGAUGCCCUUGUUUAUGUGACACUUGGGUCUUCUAGGGAAUCAAGAGACCUGACUUCAAAUUUUGUGAGUUAGGGAAUUACCAGGCUAGGAUGAAAACCCUUUUGGAGAUGAGGCAACAACUACUCCAAAGAAAAUAUUUCAACUUUUGAAUGAGGGAUAACUUGUAUUGAAGGAAGUGAUGGAAGUAAUAUUGCUUGGCCCACACACAAAGUUACAAUGAGGUGAUGAAGAUAGCGACACAAGACUUGGAUGCUUGCAAUUAAUAAAGAGAUAGUACUAGACAAAUGUUACAAUUUGUCUUUUAUUGGACUCAUUAGACAUUAUAUUUCUAAGCAUGAACUUUCAUUAUGGUA
This is a long non-coding RNA of Humulus lupulus (European hop), 653 nucleotides long. RefSeq lists it as uncharacterized. The transcript has 6 exons. The record is from RefSeq and is a predicted model, not a curated record. NCBI's taxonomy places the organism in Eukaryota, Viridiplantae, Streptophyta, Magnoliopsida, Rosales, Cannabaceae.